This 274-nucleotide ribosomal RNA is filed under the name uncultured bacterium. RNAcentral's name for it is "partial 16S ribosomal RNA". It matches the Rfam family "Bacterial small subunit ribosomal RNA", at positions 523 to 796 of the family's 1533-position model. The record is from RNAcentral.
AUACGAGUGCCCCAAGCGUUAUCCGGAAUUAUUGGGCGUAAAGGGUCCGCAGGCGGUCUUAUUAGUCUUUUGUUAAAGACCUCGGCUCAACCGAGGAAAAGCGAAAGAAACGGUAAGACUAGAGGAUGUGAGAGGUUAGUGGAACUCAUGGUGUAGGGGUGAAAUCCGUUGAUAUCAUGGGGAACACCAAAAGCGAAGGCAACUAACUGGCACAUUUCUGACGCUCAGGGACGAAAGCGUGGGUAGCGAAUGGGAUUAGAUACCCGAGUAGUCC